CAGCACGCUGCUGGCAUCGCUGUGAAGGAACAAGGGCCCGGUUCCCGCCGCGCGGAGCGGGAGCGCUUCCUGACACGUGUCGGGGAAGUGGUCGGAGAAAGAGGGAAGCCAGAGAGGGUUCAACUGAGGCGCUCAGCCUGCCCCGUCCAGAGGCGGGCUUUGUGAGACCCGAGGGGAAGGAGCCAGAACCGCGGAAACCCAUUCCUGUGAAUUCAUGGCCCGAUGGGUGUAAAGAAACAAAAGACUUGCGAGGGGUGGCCGAAGUGACCUGUUUGCGGAGGUCCAGUUCCUGAGGAAAUCAACAGCGGGUCUCCCGGGCUUCCAAGCGUGAGUCAGCGAUCAUCGCCAGGAGCUGGCCUUCCCGGACAGACGAGGGGACAGAGCACCGUGAGAACCAGGGGCCCGGUGUGUGCCCCAGGAGGAUUCUUGGUCUCAGAGAUGGAAAUGUCACUUGGGAGCUUUGUGGAAUUUAUUUGGAAGCUCUAGCAAAGGAUCAUG
This is a long non-coding RNA of Camelus dromedarius (Arabian camel), 498 nucleotides long. RefSeq lists it as uncharacterized. Lineage: Eukaryota; Metazoa; Chordata; Mammalia; Artiodactyla; Camelidae. The transcript has 3 exons. The record is from RefSeq and is a predicted model, not a curated record.